RNAcentral lists this unclassified non-coding RNA (499 nucleotides) under Acromyrmex echinatior (Panamanian leafcutter ant). RNAcentral describes it as "uncharacterized LOC105147433, transcript variant X1". Lineage: Eukaryota; Metazoa; Arthropoda; Insecta; Hymenoptera; Formicidae. The record is from RNAcentral.
CUUCAUGCUUGAUAUUGCUUAGUGCGGAUGGUCUUAUUUGACACAUCUUAUUAUUUAUAAAGUUAUCUUAUUUAUUAUUUAUAGACUUAAGAUUUUCUUAUUAAUUAUAAAUUCAGUCGUUUAAGAUUGUCUUUAACAUAUAUGCUGUUAAAUAAGUUUCGUCAAGCGUGGUCAAAGAUGAUUUAAGCAGAAGUGAAUACGAGGUUCAUAGCAUUACCAGCAACUUGUGGGAAAAAUGAAAACAAUCAGAAGGAAAAAUUUAUGUAAAUAAGAAGUAUGCUACACAAUGAAAGGAUUGAACUCAAGAUCAAGAGACUGGAAUGGAUGAACCACUAGUGCCAGAUGACUGGGAAAUAUGAUUAACAGAAGAUGAGCUGAUUCUUAUAGCUGACUAAUGCUAUGUAAUCAUAUUAAGAUUAGUGUUAGUUAACAGACAUUAUUUGAAGAUUUCUUACCAUCAAAUAAUGAACGGAAAUUUUUGCACUAAAAUGAUUAUAUA